Populus trichocarpa (black cottonwood) is the source of this 102-nucleotide non-coding RNA. The record is from Rfam. NCBI's taxonomy places the organism in Eukaryota, Viridiplantae, Streptophyta, Magnoliopsida, Malpighiales, Salicaceae.
UAAUUUAUUUAAGGUAAAUUUUUAUCUAGUUGUGACAGACUCACACAUAAUUAUUCCUAAUCAUUUGUGAAAACUACUGUGUGAACAAUAUUUUUUUAAAAA